Molecule: small nucleolar RNA, 138 nt
Organism: Tachyglossus aculeatus (Australian echidna)
Lineage: Eukaryota; Metazoa; Chordata; Mammalia; Monotremata; Tachyglossidae
Source: RefSeq, a predicted model, not a curated record
CCCCUCUCAGGGUCACACCUGGAGAGUUUCCAGUGCUCUAUCAGUCACGACAACAGGAGGGAGAGUCAAGCAGAGGCCUACUCAUUCCCUUCCUAGCUUGAGAAGUGGCUAGUGAGUGGAAGGUAAUCUGCUACAAGU